UGCUAUACUGCAGUCGAGCGGACAGAUGGGAGCUUGCUCCCUGAUGUUAGCGGCGGACGGGUGAGUAACACGUGGGUAACCUGCCUGUAAGACUGGGAUAACUCCGGGAAACCGGGGCUAAUACCGGAUGGUUGUUUGAACCGCAUGGUUCAGACAUAAAAGGUGGCUUCGGCUACCACUUACAGAUGGACCCGCGGCGCAUUAGCUAGUUGGUGAGGUAACGGCUCACCAAGGCGACGAUGCGUAGCCGACCUGAGAGGGUGAUCGGCCACACUGGGACUGAGACACGGCCCAGACUCCUACGGGAGGCAGCAGUAGGGAAUCUUCCGCAAUGGACGAAAGUCUGACGGAGCAACGCCGCGUGAGUGAUGAAGGUUUUCGGAUCGUAAAGCUCUGUUGUUAGGGAAGAACAAGUGCCGUUCAAAUAGGGCGGCACCUUGACGGUACCUAACCAGAAAGCCACGGCUAACUACGUGCCAGCAGCCGCGGUAAUACGUAGGUGGCAAGCGUUGUCCGGAAUUAUUGGGCGUAAAGGGCUCGCAGGCGGUUUCUUAAGUCUGAUGUGAAAGCCCCCGGCUCAACCGGGGAGGGUCAUUGGAAACUGGGGAACUUGAGUGCAGAAGAGGAGAGUGGAAUUCCACGUGUAGCGGUGAAAUGCGUAGAGAUGUGGAGGAACACCAGUGGCGAAGGCGACUCUCUGGUCUGUAACUGACGCUGAGGAGCGAAAGCGUGGGGAGCGAACAGGAUUAGAUACCCUGGUAGUCCACGCCGUAAACGAUGAGUGCUAAGUGGUUAAGGGGGUUUCCGCCCCUUAGUGCUGCAGCUAACGCAUUAAGCACUCCGCCUGGGGG
RNAcentral lists this ribosomal RNA (851 nucleotides) under Bacillus siamensis. Its description in RNAcentral is "bacterial SSU rRNA". It matches the Rfam family "Bacterial small subunit ribosomal RNA", at positions 45 to 879 of the family's 1533-position model. The record is from RNAcentral. Lineage: Bacteria; Bacillati; Bacillota; Bacilli; Caryophanales; Bacillaceae.